Molecule: ribosomal RNA, 251 nt
Filed under: uncultured bacterium
Lineage: Bacteria
Description: partial 16S ribosomal RNA
Rfam family: Bacterial small subunit ribosomal RNA
Source: RNAcentral
UACGAAGGGUGCAAACGUUGCUCGGAAUUAUUGGGCGUAAAGCGCACGUAGGCGGCUUGGCAAGUCGGAUGUGAAUCCCUCGGCUCAACCAAGGAAGUGCAUCCGAAACUGCUGAGCUUGAGUACUUAAGAGGAUCGCGGAAUUCCCGGUGUAGAGGUGAAAUUCGUAGAUAUCGGGAGGAACACCAGUGGCGAAGGCGGCGAUCUGGGAAGAUACUGACGCUGAGGUGCGAAAGCGUGGGGAGCAACAGG